Molecule: ribosomal RNA, 486 nt
Filed under: Microbacterium lacticum
Lineage: Bacteria; Bacillati; Actinomycetota; Actinomycetes; Micrococcales; Microbacteriaceae
Description: bacterial SSU rRNA
Rfam family: Bacterial small subunit ribosomal RNA
Source: RNAcentral
UGAUCCUGGCCUCAGGAUGAAACGCUGGCGGCCGUGCCUUAAACAACAUGCAAAGUCCGAAACGGGUGAACCACNGGAGCUUGCUCUGUGGGGAUCCAGUGGGCGAAACGGGGUGAAGUUAACCACCGUUGAAGCCAAACCCUGCCCCCUGACUUCUUGGGGAUAAAGCGCUGGGAAAACGGCGUCUAAAUACUGGAUAUGUGACGUGACCGCAUGGUCUGCGUUUGGAAAGAUUUUUCGGUUGGGGAUGGGCUCGCGGCCUAUCAGCUUGUUGGUGAGGUAAUGGCUCACCAAGGCGUCGACGGGUAGCCGGCCUGAGAGGGUGACCGGCCACACUGGGACUGAGACACGGCCCAGACUCCUACGGGAGGCAGCAGUGGGGAAUAUUGCACAAUGGGCGGAAGCCUGAUGCAGCAACGCCGCGUGAGGGAUGACGGCCUUCGGGUUGUAAACCUCUUUUAGCAGGGAAGAAGCGAAAGUGACGGU